RNAcentral lists this ribosomal RNA (446 nucleotides) under Echinocardium sp. EflavH12. Its description in RNAcentral is "partial 16S ribosomal RNA". It matches the Rfam family "Bacterial large subunit ribosomal RNA", at positions 1830 to 2462 of the family's 2925-position model. Lineage: Eukaryota; Metazoa; Echinodermata; Echinoidea; Spatangoida; Loveniidae. The record is from RNAcentral.
CUUGACAUAAUAAACAUAGGGGGUCCUGCCUGCCCAGUGGCUGAAAAGUUAAACGGCCGCGGUAUCUUGACCGUGCGAAGGUAGCAUAAUCAUUUGUCUCCUAAAUAGAGACUGGUAUGAAUGGCAAGACGGAGCUCCACUGUCUCCUCCUCUUUAAUCUGAACUUCACAUUCCCGUGAAGAGGCGGGAAUUAGUUCGUAAGACGAGAAGACCCUGUCGAGCUGUAGUUAAACUUUAAUUGUUACUCACCCUUAGGCCUAACUAAUAAUAUUAAAAAUAGUAGACCUUAAGGUAUAGCAAGUUAAAACAAGCUUUGAUUGGGGCAAUCCCGGAGAAAGAAAAUCCUCCGUUACUAUAUGGUUAUAUUUAAUCUAAAAUAAAAGAAUUAUUAUUCUUAAAGCAUAAAAAUGAAGACGUGAUCCACUUACAGUGAUCAAAAGAACAAG